RNAcentral lists this ribosomal RNA (460 nucleotides) under uncultured bacterium. Its description in RNAcentral is "partial 16S ribosomal RNA". It matches the Rfam family "Bacterial small subunit ribosomal RNA", at positions 338 to 795 of the family's 1533-position model. The record is from RNAcentral.
CCUACGGGGGGCAGCAGUGAGGAAUAUUGGUCAAUGGACGAGAGUCUGAACCAGCCAAGUAGCGUGAAGGAUGACUGCCCUAUGGGUUGUAAACUUCUUUUAUAAAGGAAUAAAACGAGGCACGUGUGCCUUUUUGCAUGUACUCUAUGAAUAAGGAUCGGCUAACUCCGUGCCAGCAGCCGCGGUAAUACGGAGGAUCCGAGCGUUAUCCGGAUUUAUUGGGUUUAAAGGGAGCGUAGAUGGGUUGUUAAGUCAGUUGUGAAAGUUUGCGGCUCAACCGUAAAAUUGCAGUUGAUACUGGAAGUCUUGAGUACAGUUGAGGUAGGCGGAAUUCGUGGUGUAGCGGUGAAAUGCUUAGAUAUCACGAAGAACCCCGAUUGCGAAGGCAGCUUACUAAGCUGUGACUGACAUUGAUGCUCGAAAGUGUGGGUAUCAAACAGGAUUAGAUACCCGGGUAGUC